CACAGUUUUUGAGAAGUGCAGAAACAUCACCUUGCAUUUGCGAGGUACAAAGAUGGUCCUCAACAUCCUCCAACUGUGACAGAAGGUCCAGGGACAGGGUAUCAAGGGUUUGUGUCAGGUCAUGGAGUGAUGACCCUUCGGUGACUUCACUGACCUGGGCAUGGUGGCCACUGGACAACUUUGAAUCAAGGACACUUUCCUGAGUUGGUGCAAGAAACACAGUUAGCCAGCCAAACGCCAGGAGGAGCUCUCUGCUGCCGUGGUCCAUGGAGGUGGGAAGGGACAGGAACUCUGGGGACCGGUAACCAUGGAGAUACAGGCAC
This is a long non-coding RNA of Branchiostoma belcheri (Belcher's lancelet), 323 nucleotides long. RefSeq lists it as uncharacterized. The transcript has 3 exons. NCBI's taxonomy places the organism in Eukaryota, Metazoa, Chordata, Leptocardii, Amphioxiformes, Branchiostomatidae. The record is from RefSeq and is a predicted model, not a curated record.